UUGACCUCGAAUCAGGUAGGGAUACCCGCUGAACUUAAGCAUAUCAAUAAGCGGAGGAAUCUGGCUCCUUUGGAGUCCGAGUUGUAAUUUGUAGAAGAUGCUUUGGGUUGCCGGUCCGGUCUAAGUUCCUUGGAACAGGGCGUCAUAGAGGGUGAGAAUCCCGUAUGCGGCCGUGACCUGUGCCCGUGUAAAGCUCUUUCGACGAGUCGAGUUGUUUGGGAAUGCAGCUCAAAAUGGGUGGUAAAUUUCAUCUAAAGCUAAAUAUAGGCCAGAGACCGAUAGCGCACAAGUAGAGUGAUCGAAAGAUGAAAAGCACUUUGGAAAGAGAGUUAAACAGUACGUGAAAUUGUUGAAAGGGAAGCGCUUGCAACCAGACUUGGGCGUCGUGGAUCAUCCGAGGUUCUCCUCGGUGCACUCGACGACGCGCAGGCCAGCAUCGGUUUGGAUGGCUGGAAAAAGGCCCUAGAAAUGUAGCUCCUCGCGGGGAGUGUUAUAGUCUAGGGCGCAAUGCAGCCCAACCGGACCGAGGACCGCGCUUAGGCUAGGAUGCUGGCGUAAUGGUUGUAAGCGACCCGUCUUGAAACACGGACCAAGGAGUCUAACAUCUAUGCGAGUGUUUGGGCGUUAAACCCAUACGCGGAAUGAAAGUGAACGUAGGUGAGAACCCGUAUGGGGGCAUCAUCGACCGAUCCUGAAGUCUUCC
RNAcentral lists this ribosomal RNA (703 nucleotides) under Neoerysiphe joerstadii. Its description in RNAcentral is "eukaryotic LSU rRNA". It matches the Rfam family "Eukaryotic large subunit ribosomal RNA", at positions 1 to 782 of the family's 3401-position model. The record is from RNAcentral. Lineage: Eukaryota; Fungi; Ascomycota; Leotiomycetes; Helotiales; Erysiphaceae.